RNAcentral lists this ribosomal RNA (466 nucleotides) under uncultured bacterium. RNAcentral's name for it is "partial 16S ribosomal RNA". It matches the Rfam family "Bacterial small subunit ribosomal RNA", at positions 28 to 507 of the family's 1533-position model. The record is from RNAcentral.
GACGAACGCUGGCGGCGCGCCUAACACAUGCAAGUCGAACGAGCGAGCGAGAGCUUGCUUUCUCAAGCGAGUGGCGAACGGGUGAGUAACGCGUGAGGAACCUGCCUCAAAGAGGGGGACAACAGUUGGAAACGACUGCUAAUACCGCAUAAGCCCACGACCCGGCAUCGGGUAGAGGGAAAAGGAGCAAUCCGCUUUGAGAUGGCCUCGCGUCCGAUUAGCUAGUUGGUGAGGUAACGGCCCACCAAGGCGACGAUCGGUAGCCGGACUGAGAGGUUGAACGGCCACAUUGGGACUGGGACACGGCCCAGACUCCUACGGGAGGCAGCAGUGGGGAAUAUUGCACAAUGGGGGAAACCCUGAUGCAGCGACGCCGCGUGGAGGAAGAAGGUCUUCGGAUUGUAAACUCCUGUUGUUGAGGAAGAUAAUGACGUUACUCAACAAGGAAGUGACGGCUAACUACGUG